GUAGAAUAUGCUUAAAUCCAAUACAAAAGCACCUACACACGCGCUUGCUUGGAAAAAUGGAUCAGCGCAAGUCUGACAUGAGCAGCGUGUGUCUGGACGCAGGGCAGAAAACACUACAGAAGGUCAGGGGAUCCCUCAGGACAGGGCUGAGCAUUGGCUGAAGCUGAGGUAGUUCAUGUCCUCCCAUUUGUUGGACUUGGUGAAGGGGAAGGAGCCACCUGUUCCUCCCAGGCAGAGGUGACAUGCCAUGAGCCCUGAGCAGAGCUAGGGGGCACUCGUGCCACAUUGGCGAUUCAGCACAAAGCCCCAGCCACUGUCCUUGCAGAGAGGGACGCGUCAGGACUCCUCCAUGGCUGCUCCUUGGGGCCUCAGGCCCUGGGCGGAGAGGGCUCUGAGUUUGGGGAGGAGGCACCCUUCAUUAACUAGAGGAUUGGAAUAUUUUAACCAAAGGUGAUGUUAUUUAACCUACUUUCUUAGCACUUAAUUUUUCUUUGACCGUGAACUUUCUUUCCUUGGAAUGGAUUGCCGGGCUCUGCCUUUUAACGCGCCCUCUGACAGUAGGUGCUGAGGGCUUAGCACAUAGGCACCCGUGGUCUGGCCUGGGCUGGAGCAGAUGGCUUGUGCACCACAGAUUCUCCAAUAUGCGCAUAGCAUCACAGAUUACAGUGGCUCCAGCCAGGUGUGAUGGAGCACACCUGUGGUCCCAGCUACUCGGGAGGCUGAGGCAGGAGGAUUACGAGUUCAGGGCCAGCUGGGCAAUGUAGAAAGACCCUGUCUCAAAAUACAAAGUAAAAAGCGUUGGGGAUACGUCCCUAGUGCUCAGUGGUAGAGCACCCCAAGGUUCAAUUCCCAGUGCUGCAAAGAAAAAAAAUUACACUGAUUCUCUGGGAAUGGGUCUUGAAAUAAGAACUUAUCCUAACUUAUUAUCGC
Molecule: long non-coding RNA, 930 nt
Filed under: Marmota monax (woodchuck)
Lineage: Eukaryota; Metazoa; Chordata; Mammalia; Rodentia; Sciuridae
Source: RNAcentral